This 2275-nucleotide long non-coding RNA is filed under the name Homo sapiens (human). RNAcentral's name for it is "non-protein coding lnc-TMEM170B-2:9". The record is from RNAcentral. Lineage: Eukaryota; Metazoa; Chordata; Mammalia; Primates; Hominidae.
AACUUGUAUGCAGUUCCCAACUGCACAUGGAAGAAAAUGAAGCCCAAUCUGGCCUUCAGGUUACUACAAGACCUUGAAAGAAGCCUGAGGUGGGUGAAGAAAUGUAGAAAAAUUAACUUACAAGGUAAAACACCUGAUUGGCUGAGUAAACAUUAUUGUCAAACACUUUGAGAACUCUAUGAUUUAUAAAACUAGUACUUACAGAAGAGUUAUUUGCAAUUAUGCUAUGCCAGCAAUGGUUGAUUUUACUGGUCAUCUGAACAAUCCACAUGGUGGACAUUGAAAAUAAAUAAGAUAAUUGUGAUAAUUAAAUCAGGACACAAAUGGAAAAAAUGAUGAAACUCCUGAAUAGAAACAAACCAAUAAAGAAACAACAGCAAUACACAGAACUCCAAUGCCGAAGAAGAAAGUGAAGAACAAAAUGAAGGCAUUUCACCCCUAAACUUUGAAGAGAAUAAAAACAAAGAUCACUUAACAUUUUUAUUUGAAGUUUGGUUUUUACAAAAUACACCUUUGGAUGAAAAUGAGGCUGACCAAAUCUCAAAGGGUUUCUUUUCUCCUUUUAAUGUUUAAGCACUGCUGGAGUUCAGGGUACUUUCUGGUGAGGCAGUCCUGAGAAAGUUCUUUGAAACACAUUAUUCAGUUUGAAAACACAACAGAAACAGGUGCUUGAGAUCUACAAGAGCUGCACUGGGAAGAAACGGGGAAGUGAGAGAUUCACUUCUUUCCUACUGUCGCUAAUAUGGAGGACAUAGCUGAGAAAAAGCAAUCACCGGUAUUGGUUAGGCUCACUGAUGAAUCUCAGGGCCAGAGAGAAGGAUGUGGGAUUUCUCCCUCCUGAAGCUGAUGCAGGAAGUUUGGCUGUGAAAUGUCACACUACAAUAACUGAGAAGUGGGAAAUGAACAAGGAAUUCUGGUGUGACCUGGCUUAGAUUAUAUCUAGUAGACUUUCUUUCAAAAUGGCAAUCAUGGUAACUAGAACUUUAGAGAAAUAAUCCCAACAUAUCUCCACACCUUGCUCUUCCUCUGCCUUAAAUAUGCAGAAGUCGAAAUCAGUUUUCUGUUGUGGGAGGAUCAUCUAUUGCUUUGGGAGCAAUUAAAGAUGUUCUUUUUUUCUGUUGAUCACAAGAGUUUUAGAGCUCAAUAAUAUAAUGUCUGUCCUCUUUCAGAACAACAAAGAAAAGGCAAAUGAACUGAAGGAAAUCUGCUAUUCACAAUGUACAGGCAUGCAUGAUGCUUUUGAAAUGUUUUUGCUAGCAAUUGUUUUGUGUUUAGAUGAUAUAAAGGUUGACACAAAUGUUAGAUGGAAUACCUUUAUAGCUGGUUGAGCUUUUGUUCUCUGUAGUGCAUUAAUGUUUUGAUUUAAUUAUAAAUUGUUGUUCAUAAAAGUAUCCUAUUUUCAGAAAGACCAUCUGGAAAAAAUCUCCAGGGCCACACCUCUGAUGUCUUCUUUGCAAUAGGCAGCUUGACUGCAGCGUUGCAUUGCAGAAAGAGAUUGAAGAUAUUUACAUUUAUUGUAAAUUUUGAUUUGAGGAAGCCGCAGGGUUGACAACCAUACUUGAUGCUGAAAUGCUGGGAAAUUCCUCAAGGCUCAGCAAGAUAAUCUAGAAUCUAAAUUAACCACAGAGAAUUACUAUAAAGAAAUAGUGCUCCACCAUGAGGCACAUUAUCCAUGACCUUAAAGACAUUUUCUUAGAACAGUACCUCACAGUUCCUAAAUGUUCUUAAACAGUCAAAAGCAGUUCACUGGUGGCCUCGGUCAUAGAACAGCUUACACUGAACACCAUGCCAAUGUGUACUCAGCUGACUUAUUCAAUCCUGAUACAUUCUCUGCCAACCUUCAUUGUUGGAGGUUAAGGCCAAAACGCAGAAAAAAAGACAAAGAGCUUCCACCCACCACGUAUAAAACUCCCUAUUUAUCUCACUUAAAGUUUUUUUUUCUUACUGUCUACAUGUUACUGAAGGUCCUGUGUAUUCUUCCUUUUGAUGAAGUUUGAGAAUGAAAGCUAUGAAAUUGGAUGAAAGUGUCUCAAACCACAACUAAGAAGCACUUCAACGGACCAGAGGUCAAGUAACUUUACACUGCUUAACAUAAAUGUUGAUAUAAAAUAGGAUCUUAAUUUAACAGUAGACACAUAUAUAAAAAAGCUAUACAUAAAGCCAGAACUUCCUACAAGUACCUAAAAACCACUGAAAAUGCCUAAUAGUUUUUCUUUUUAUAUCUGAUAUUUAGAGGAAAAGCUGUGAGUUGUAUUUUGGCCACUUAAUCACUGAA